GACGGAGGGUGCUAGCGUUGUUCGGAAUGACUGGGCGUAAAGGGCGCGUAGGCGGUUAUAUUAGUCAAGGGUGAAAGCCCCGGGCUUAACCCGGGAAUUGCGCCUGAAACGGUAUAACUAGAGGACGAGAGAGGAAAGCGGAAUUCCUAGUGUAGAGGUGAAAUUCGUAGAUAUUAGGAGGAACAUCAGAGGCGAAGGCGGCUUUCUGGCUCGUUACUGACGCUGAGGCGCGAAAGCGUGGGGAGCAAACAGG
RNAcentral lists this ribosomal RNA (253 nucleotides) under uncultured bacterium. Its description in RNAcentral is "partial 16S ribosomal RNA". It matches the Rfam family "Bacterial small subunit ribosomal RNA", at positions 524 to 776 of the family's 1533-position model. The record is from RNAcentral.